GACGGAGGAUGCAAGCGUUAUCCGGAAUGAUUGGGCGUAAAGCGUCCGCAGGUGGCAGUUCAAGUCUGCUGUCAAAGACCGGGGCUUAACUUCGGAAAGGCAGUGGAAACUGAACAGCUAGAGUAUGGUAGGGGCAGAGGGAAUUCCUGGUGUAGCGGUGAAAUGCGUAGAGAUCAGGAAGAACAUCGGUGGCGAAGGCGCUCUGCUGGACCUAAACUGACACUGAGGGACGAAAGCUAGGGGAGCGAAUGGG
RNAcentral lists this ribosomal RNA (253 nucleotides) under uncultured bacterium. RNAcentral describes it as "partial 16S ribosomal RNA". It matches the Rfam family "Bacterial small subunit ribosomal RNA", at positions 524 to 776 of the family's 1533-position model. The record is from RNAcentral.